RNAcentral lists this ribosomal RNA (504 nucleotides) under uncultured bacterium. RNAcentral describes it as "partial 16S ribosomal RNA". It matches the Rfam family "Bacterial small subunit ribosomal RNA", at positions 28 to 507 of the family's 1533-position model. The record is from RNAcentral.
GACGAACGCUGGCGGCGUGCCUAAUACAUGCAAGUAGAACGCACAGUUUAUACCGUAGCUUGCUACACCAUAGACUGUGAGUUGCGAACGGGUGAGUAACGCGUAGGUAACCUGCCUGGUAGCGGGGGAUAACUAUUGGAAACGAUAGCUAAUACCGCAUAAUAUUAAUUAUUGCAUGAUAAUUAAUUGAAAGGUGCAAUUGCACCACUACCAGAUGGACCUGCGUUGUAUUAGCUAGUAGGUGAGGUAACGGCUCACCUAGGCGACGAUACAUAGCCGACCUGAGAGGGUGAUCGGCCACACUGGGACUGAGACACGGCCCAGACUCCUACGGGAGGCAGCAGUAGGGAAUCUUCGGCAAUGGACGAAAGUCUGACCGAGCAACGCCGCGUGAGUGAAGAAGGUUUUCGGAUCGUAAAGCUCUGUUGUAAGAGAAGAACGGGUGUGAGAGUGGAAAGUUCACACUGUGACGGUAUCUUACCAGAAAGGGACGGCUACUACGUG